RNAcentral lists this ribosomal RNA (499 nucleotides) under uncultured bacterium. RNAcentral describes it as "bacterial SSU rRNA". It matches the Rfam family "Bacterial small subunit ribosomal RNA", at positions 10 to 507 of the family's 1533-position model. The record is from RNAcentral.
AGUUUGAUCCUGGCUCAGAUUGAACGCUGGCGGCAUGCCUUACACAUGCAAGUCGAACGGUAACGGGCCUUCGGGUGCCGACGAGUGGCGAACGGGUGAGUAAUGCAUCGGAACGUACCUUUCAGUGGGGAUAACGUAGCGAAAGUUACGCUAAUACCGCAUAUUCUGUGAGCAGGAAAGCAGGGGAUCGCAAGACCUUGCGCUGAUUGAGCGGCCGAUGUCAGAUUAGCUAGUUGGUGAGGUAAAGGCUCACCAAGGCGACGAUCUGUAGCGGGUCUGAGAGGAUGAUCCGCCACACUGGAACUGAGACACGGUCCAGACUCCUACGGGAGGCAGCAGUGGGGAAUUUUGGACAAUGGGGGCAACCCUGAUCCAGCCAUGCCGCGUGAGUGAAGAAGGCCUUCGGGUUGUAAAGCUCUUUCAGCCGGGAAGAAAUCGUAUGGGCUAAUACCCUGUGCGGAUGACGGUACCGGCAUAAGAAGCACCGGCUAACUACGUG